GUGAGGAAUAUUGCACAAUGGGCGCAAGCCUGAUGCAGCAACGCCGCGUGAGGGAUGAAGGCCUUCGGGUUGUAAACCUCUUUUCUGAGGGAAGAGAAAGGACGGUACCUCAGGAAUAAGUCUCGGCUAACUACGUGCCAGCAGCCGCGGUAAAACGUAGGAGGCGAACGUUAUCCGGAAUUACUGGGCGUAAAGCGCACGCAGGCGGCGCUGUAAGUCCGACGUGAAAGCUCCUGGCUUAACUGGGAGAGGUCGUUGGAUACUGCAGCGCUUGAGGUUGGGAGAGGAAAGUGGAAUUCCCGGUGUAGUGGUGGAAUGCGUAGAUAUCGGGAGGAACUCCAGUGGCGAAAGCGACUUUCUGGCCUACACCUGACGCUGAGGUGCGAAAGCGUGGGGAGCGAACAGGAUUAGAUACCCCUGUAGUCC
This 426-nucleotide ribosomal RNA is filed under the name uncultured bacterium. RNAcentral describes it as "bacterial SSU rRNA". It matches the Rfam family "Bacterial small subunit ribosomal RNA", at positions 354 to 796 of the family's 1533-position model. The record is from RNAcentral.